UCCAUGGUAUUCUCCAGACUGUCUGACC
This 28-nucleotide non-coding RNA is filed under the name Rattus norvegicus (Norway rat). Lineage: Eukaryota; Metazoa; Chordata; Mammalia; Rodentia; Muridae. The record is from RNAcentral.